AACUUCGGGAGAAGGGGGACCACGCCCGGUGAACACCUUUGCGGUGGGAGCUGGGGGUGGUCGCAGAGACCAGAGAGAAGCGACUGUUUACUAAAAACACAGGUCCGUGCGAAGACGUAAGUCGAUGUAUACGGACUGACGCCUGCCCGGUGCUGGAAGGUUAAGAGGACCGGUUAGCCGCAAGGCGAAGCUGAGAAUUUAAGCCCCAGUAAACGGCGGUGGUAACUAUAACCAUCCUAAGGUAGCGAAAUUCCUUGUCGGGUAAGUUCCGACCUGCACGAAUGGCGUAACGACUUCUCUGCUGUCUCGACCACAGACUCGGCGAAAUUGCAUUACGAGUAAAGAUGCUCGUUACGCGCGGCAGGACGAAAAGACCCCGGGACCUUUACUAUAGCUUGGUAUUGGCGUUCGAUUCGGUUUGUGUAGGAUAGGUGGGAGACUGUGAAGCAUGCACGCCAGUGUGUGUGGAGUCGUUGUUGAAAUACCACUCUGAUCGUAUUGGACGUCUAACCUCGGCCCAUGAUCUGGGUUAGGGACAGUGCCUGGUGGGUAGUUUAACUGGGGCGGUUGCCUCCCAAAGAGUAACGGAGGCGCCCAAAGGUUCCCUCAGCCUGGAUGGCAAUCAGGUGUUGAGUGCAAGUGCACAAGGGAGCUUGACUGUGAGACUGACACGUCGAGCAGGGACGAAAGUCGGGACUAGUGAUCCGGCACCGGCAUGUGGAAGCGGUGUCGCUCAACGGAUAAAAGGUACCCCGGGGAUAACAGGCUGAUCUUCCCCAAGAGUCCAUAUCGACGGGAUGGUUUGGCACCUCGAUGUCGGCUCGUCGCAUCCUGGGGCUGGAGUAGGUCCCAAGGGUUGGGCUGUUCGCCCAUUAAAGCGGCACGCGAGCUGGGUUUAGAACGUCGUGAGACAGUUCGGUCUCUAUCCGCCGCGCGCGUAAGAAACUUGCGGAAGGCUGUCCCUAGUACGAGAGGACCGGGACGGACGAACCUCUGGUGUGCCAGUUGUUCCACCAGGAGCAUCGCUGGUUAGCUACGUUCGGAAGGGAUAACCGCUGAAAGCAUCUAAGCGGGAAGCCUGUUCCAAGAUGAGGUUUCUCACCACCUUCGCGUGGUUAAGGCCCCCCACAGACCAUGGGGUUGAUAGGCCGGAACUGGAAGCGCAGCAAUGCGUGCAGGUGACCGGUACUAAUCGGCCGAGGACUUACACA
This 1211-nucleotide ribosomal RNA is filed under the name Callipepla squamata (scaled quail). RNAcentral's name for it is "bacterial LSU rRNA". It matches the Rfam family "Bacterial large subunit ribosomal RNA", at positions 1732 to 2925 of the family's 2925-position model. Lineage: Eukaryota; Metazoa; Chordata; Aves; Galliformes; Odontophoridae. The record is from RNAcentral.